Molecule: ribosomal RNA, 503 nt
Filed under: uncultured bacterium
Lineage: Bacteria
Description: bacterial SSU rRNA
Rfam family: Bacterial small subunit ribosomal RNA
Source: RNAcentral
AGAGUUUGAUCCUGGCUCAGGAUUAACGCUAGCGGCAGGCCUAAUACAUGCAAGUCGAGGGGUAACAGGGUAGCAAUACCGCUGACGACCGGCGCACGGGUGAGUAACACGUAUGCAACCUACCUAUAACUGGGGAAUAGCCUUCCGAAAGGAAGAUUAACACCGCAUAACAUCACGAGACGGCAUCGUUUUUGUGAUCAAACCUCCAGGGGUUAUAGAUGGGCAUGCGUAACAUUAGCUAGUUGGUGAGGUAACGGCUCACCAAGGCGACGAUGUUUAGGGGGUCUGAGAGGAUGAUCCCCCACACUGGUACUGAGACACGGACCAGACUCCUACGGGAGGCAGCAGUAAGGGAUAUUGGACAAUGGGGGCAACCCUGAUCCAGCCAUGCCGCGUGAAGGAUGAAGGCGCUCUGCGUCGUAAACUUCUUUUAUCCGGGAAAAAUUGUUGGGUUUCUACCUGACUUGAUUGUACCGGAGGAAUAAGGACCGGCUAACUUCGUG